AUGCUUUCUUUGGCAGCACAUAUACUAAACUUGGAACAAUACAGAGAAAAUUAGCAUGGACUGUGUGCAAGGAUGAUAUACAAAUUCAUUACACAUUCCAUAUUUUU
Molecule: small nuclear RNA, 107 nt
Filed under: Dasypus novemcinctus (nine-banded armadillo)
Lineage: Eukaryota; Metazoa; Chordata; Mammalia; Cingulata; Dasypodidae
Source: RNAcentral